CAGUAGCCGCGGUAAUACGUAGGGUGCGAGCGUUAAUCGGAAUUACUGGGCGUAAAGCGUGCGCAGGCGGUUGUGUAAGACAGGUGUGAAAUCCCCGGGCUUAACCUGGGAACUGCGCUUGUGACUGCACAGCUAGAGUAUGGCAGAGGGGGGUGGAAUCCCACGUGUAGCAGUGAAAUGCGUAGAGAUGUGGAGGAACACCGAUGGCGAAGGCAGCCCCCUGGGCCAAUACUGACGCUCAUGCACGAAAGCGUGGGGAGCAAACAGGAUUAGAUACCCGUGUAGUCCCUGUCUCUUAUAU
This 301-nucleotide ribosomal RNA is filed under the name uncultured bacterium. RNAcentral describes it as "partial 16S ribosomal RNA". It matches the Rfam family "Bacterial small subunit ribosomal RNA", at positions 509 to 809 of the family's 1533-position model. The record is from RNAcentral.